AUGCCGGAUCUAAGACCAAAGCCAGCCUUUCUCAAGCAAGAGGAAUGGCCAGCGAGUGGAAUCCCACCGUGGAGGCGGCAGGUGGGAAGCGAACAGAAGGUGGGGGCCUGGCUAAAGCUCUCUGAACAAUUUAGUCAGUGUGCUGCUGAAGCACCCACUGAAAGGAAGUCCCGGGAAGAAAGGCAUUAUCAUAAAGAUAUGAAAAUGAACUUGGCGUGUGAUACUACUACUCAUAUCCAGAAGCAACGAAGGGUUUGUCUCGGAGUAGCUAAACCAAUGGGACUUGGAACUCAGCCACACUGUGCACGGCGCAGGGGAGGGGAGCAGAACCCAAGGAGCCAAUACGCCAGACUGGGAGGUGUUCCCCUCCUCCCCACCAGGUGCCCCUGUCCCUGGCUGGCCCUAGGCGGCAUGCCCCAGGCCUACACUGCACACCUGCACUCCGCCCAAGGGAUGGGGGCUUUUCCUGGAGAAACUGAACCAGGCCGCAGAAAAGACUGGAUUUUACUGAAUCUGGCCGGGCAGGGGCUCACCUCCUACACAGCCAGCUCGGGGACAAGGGUCUCUGAGGGCCACCUAGCCUUCCCGGGCGCCCCCAGCCUGUCUCUGAGAGACUCGCUCCUAAGUAGGAAAGAAGAGCAGAUGAUGAUACGCUAGUGAGGACAGUGACAGAUCUGCGAGGACAUUUUGAAAAUUCCCAUGAGUAGCUCAAAUUAAGCACAUGAGAAACCAAGGCUGAUGUUAACGAUAGGGAAAUAAGUCACACGAGAGAAAACAUAGAAGCCAAGUCCUAUUCGGAUUAUGCACAUGGAUUAAAUAAUUCAAAUGCUGCAGCUUUAAGUGCUCAUGGUGACGGCUAGGCCCUGGACCCUGGGGAGCGCAAAGCCUGUGCACGGUCCAGGUGACAGCCGAGAGAAUUCAAUCUUCCUCACGAGGACCUCUCGAAAACAAGAAGCCAUCAUGAAACACCGGUGCAACGUCUGAUCUAGAAGGAAGAAAUAUUUGAAACAGCGGAAAUAAGAGGCUGGAAGUGGUGGUUUCUUGGAUGCAAGACGGGAGAGGAGGAGAGAAGAGGGUGAUUCUGUGUCUGAUUCUAAGUGCUUCCGUUCUGCUGAACAUUUUAUCAAAAACUGUCGCCUCUUUGGGCUGACUGUGUGGCUUCUCUCUAGUCUCUGAAGUUCCACUGUGCCCUGCUGUUGGGGUCGCCUCUAGUUUACACAAUCCCUAACGUGCGGGUUAAGGAAGACAUUCUUUCUUUGGGACAGAAGCAGCCCCGGGCCAGCACAUGGGGUCUGCAGAGGGCCAAAGGGCAGGACGGGGGCUGGAUUUCAGCUCCAUUGGCUCUGAGCACAUCAGGAAACCACACAGCAGCCCUGUUAUAAAACAUAAGCCCUGCCAUUAAAGCCAUGUAAACUAAAGAUGGUAGCAGUGCGAGAGAGUGUGGCAGAAAAACAGGACCAGGGAAAAACCUACCUGAAAUUUCCUAAGAUCAAAUUUUUAAACUCGUGGUUUGCCUGCGAACAGCUGUGGUGACAUGGUGCAGUGGAAAUGAACACCAUCAGAAACACCGUGAACGGGCCAGGGUUUGGCUGCCCUAGACAAGCACGGGGCCCUGGGGAGGAAGGCACAGGUAGGUACUGCAGGUGCAUUUACUCAACUGUCAACCACCGAUGGGUGUGAUUGCAGGGAGGGAGGGAGCGCCGGGCCAACCUCAGGAUGAGAGAAUGAAAGUCUGGUCUCAAGAAGAAAUGGAAGAUGGCUGCACCAUCCUGCGCUCUGGCCAGGCUCUGUGUGGCCUGGGGAUCUUCAGAGGUCAUCGCCUGUGCCCAGCGAGGGGUCUGCAGUGUUCAGGGACUGGACAGUCCUUUCACAGCAGGCAGGAGGCCCGAGAUCACAAGUUAUCUGCACGUAGUCUCAAAGGGAAGAGUGGUCACAUGUCAGAACCUUGUUCAAUGGAGGUAAACAGUUAAAGGGGGAGAGGGAGCAAAUCAAUGUGAAGCAGACCUCACUCACUCAAUAGAGCUUUGAACAAACAAAAGGUGUUGCCUGACACCACUGGGAUCAAGACUGGGCCCUUGGGGCUGGUGUUGUGGCCCAGCAGGCUAAACCACUACCCGCAAUGCUACAUCCCAUCCAGAGUGCUGGCUGGAGUCCUGGCUGCUCUCCUUGUGAUGUAGUCCCCUGCUGAUGCGCCUGGGAGAGCAGUGGAAGACGGCCCAAAUACGUGGGCCCCUGCCCCCAUGUGGAAGAUCCCAAGGGGGUUCCUGGCUCCUGGCUUCAGCUUGGCCCAGACUUGGCUCUUGCAGGGAAUGAACCAGCUCAUAGAAGAUUCUCUCUCUCUCUCUGAAACUCUGCCUUUCCAAUAAAUAAAUCUUAAACAAAACA
This is a long non-coding RNA of Oryctolagus cuniculus (rabbit), 2385 nucleotides long. The record is from Ensembl. Lineage: Eukaryota; Metazoa; Chordata; Mammalia; Lagomorpha; Leporidae.